UACGGGAGGCAGCAGUGAGGAAUAUUGGUCAAUGGGCGAGAGCCUGAACCAGCCAAGUAGCGUGCAGGAUGACGGCCCUAUGGGUUGUAAACUGCUUUUAUGCGGGGAUAAAGUGCAGCAUGUGUGCUGUUUUGUAUGUACCGCAUGAAUAAGGACCGGCUAAUUCCGUGCCAGCAGCCGCGGUAAU
Molecule: ribosomal RNA, 187 nt
Filed under: uncultured rumen bacterium
Lineage: Bacteria
Description: partial 16S ribosomal RNA
Rfam family: Bacterial small subunit ribosomal RNA
Source: RNAcentral